GCAGUGGGAGGUGGGCUGGCUGUAGUCCAGCACCAGAUAAUAUUUGCCUGGCAAAUACUGCUGGCUUAGGGCAGUGAGCAGGGGUGCACUUAUAAGAUAACGCCUUCAUAGCUGGAUCAUUCUUCCCAUUUGGACCUCCAGGUUCAGAGGAACUUUCUGAAGAAAUAUAGGAGUUGCUCUUCAGCCAUCUAUUUUGCCUAAAAAGUCUUCUUUGCACAUGAAACACAACACAGAUCCUGUAUAGGAGGUCACAGAAGUAGAUACACUUCUGCAUGGGAAUUGCUUUUUCUCCUGGAUGAAACAGAUCUUUAGAAAAAUUGCAGAAUUUGCCUCUUUCUCAUCUGCUGGCAGGCUCCAUAUGCACCAUAUGAAAAAGGAGUUAAUAAAAUGCACGUUGGAAAUAUAAAACAAGGUCAGGGGCGACAGUUUGGCUGAAGGCCUUUCUUUAAAUGUGGAACGCAAAAGAACAAAAUUGUUUUAGCAGUUGCAGCUGUACAAAGAGGCAGCCUGAGCGGAGAGUGGCAGUCGAAGCAGCCAAGGUUCCUGCUACCUGUUUCAUGCGGCCGUCAAACCACUGUCUUCCACCUAACCCCCUUACAGGAGAAAGCCCUGCAGCUGUUCUGGAUCCCAUUGCCAGAGGCAUAUUAUGGCUUGUUUUGAUGUUGCACCAGAAAGUUCUGUGCCUCAUACGGGGACAAGCCAAGGAGAACAUCCCAAGUUCCAAGGGAGGCCAAAACACAAUCACCCUGUCAGACACAGAAAUGUUGGUACUUUUAAGUUUAUUCGAUGACUUUCAGAAGAAUCCAAUAAAAACUUCUGCAGAUAAAUUUGUGCCCUGGAACAGCAUUAACAGAAACAAAAAAGGAAGCAAAGCAAUUAGCAGAUCGUCCUGGAGACAAGAGGAAUAG
Long non-coding RNA from Chinchilla lanigera (long-tailed chinchilla), 908 nucleotides. NCBI's taxonomy places the organism in Eukaryota, Metazoa, Chordata, Mammalia, Rodentia, Chinchillidae. The record is from Ensembl.